AGAGUUUGAUCCUGGCUCAGAUUGAACGCUGGCGGCAUGCUUUACACAUGCAAGUCGAACGGCAGCACGGGGGCAACCCUGGUGGCGAGUGGCGAACGGGUGAGUAAUGCAUCGGAACGUGCCCAGUAGUGGGGGAUAACGCGUCGAAAGAUGUGCUAAUACCGCAUACGCACUACGGUGGAAAGCGGGGGACCGCAAGGCCUCGCGCUAUUGGAGCGGCCGAUGUCCGAUUAGCUAGUUGGUGGGGUAAAGGCCUACCAAGGCGACGAUCGGUAGCUGGUCUGAGAGGAUGAUCAGCCACACUGGGACUGAGACACGGCCCAGACUCCUACGGGAGGCAGCAGUGGGGAAUUUUGGACAAUGGGCGCAAGCCUGAUCCAGCCAUGCCGCGUGAGUGAAGAAGGCCUUCGGGUUGUAAAGCUCUUUCGGCCGGAACGAAAUCGUCCGGGCUAACACCUCGGAUGGA
This 466-nucleotide ribosomal RNA is filed under the name uncultured bacterium. RNAcentral's name for it is "bacterial SSU rRNA". It matches the Rfam family "Bacterial small subunit ribosomal RNA", at positions 8 to 476 of the family's 1533-position model. The record is from RNAcentral.